AGGCAGCAGUGAGGAAUAUUGGUCAAUGGCCGCAGGGCUGAACCAGCCAAGUCGCGUGAGGGAUGACGGUCCUAUGGAUUGUAAACCUCUUUUGUCAGGGAGCAAAGGGCGCCACGUGUGGCGCUUUGCGAGUACCUGAAGAAAAAGCAUCGGCUAACUCCGUGCCAGCAGCCGCGGUAAUACGGAGGAUGCGAGCGUUAUCCGGAUUUAUUGGGUUUAAAGGGUGCGCAGGCGGAAUGUCAAGUCAGCGGUAAAAUUUCGGGGCUCAACCCCGUCGUGCCGUUGAAACUGGCGUUCUUGAGUGAGCGAGAAGUAUGCGGAAUGCGUGGUGUAGCGGUGAAAUGCAUAGAUAUCACGCAGAACUCCGAUUGCGAAGGCAGCAUACCGGCGCUCAACUGACGCUCAUGCACGAAAGCGUGGGUAUCGAACAGGAUUAGAUACCCUGGUAGUCCACGCAGUAAACGAUGAAUACUAACUGUCCGGGCAGAAUGAUGCCUGG
RNAcentral lists this ribosomal RNA (499 nucleotides) under uncultured bacterium. RNAcentral's name for it is "bacterial SSU rRNA". It matches the Rfam family "Bacterial small subunit ribosomal RNA", at positions 346 to 842 of the family's 1533-position model. The record is from RNAcentral.